Molecule: transfer RNA, 141 nt
Rfam family: tRNA
About the family: Transfer RNA (tRNA) molecules are approximately 80 nucleotides in length.
Source: Rfam
GUCUCGGUGGCGCAAUGGUAGCGCGUUGGACUUCUACCCCUAAGAUCGCUUAACUGGUUUUGGUUAACUGAGUCGGUUAUGUGAGAAGAGAGAGAGAUUGCAAAAAUCCAAAGGCUGCGGGUUCGAGCCCCGCCCGAGAUG